UACGUAGGGGGCAAGCGUUAUCCGGAUUUACUGGGUGUAAAGGGAGCGUAGACGGUUGUGCAAGUCUGAAGUGAAAGGCGGGGGCCCAACCCCCGGACUGCUUUGGAAACUGUAUAACUGGAGUGCAGGAGAGGUAAGUGGAAUUCCUAGUGUAGCGGUGAAAUGCGUAGAUAUUAGGAGGAACACCAGUGGCGAAGGCGGCUUACUGGACUGUAACUGACGUUGAGGCUCGAAAGCGUGGGGAGCAAACAGG
RNAcentral lists this ribosomal RNA (253 nucleotides) under uncultured bacterium. RNAcentral's name for it is "partial 16S ribosomal RNA". It matches the Rfam family "Bacterial small subunit ribosomal RNA", at positions 524 to 776 of the family's 1533-position model. The record is from RNAcentral.